UGUGGUGUAGCUCAAUUGAGGAGAGCGCCCCUCGUCUGGGGAGAUGGGGGGGGGCAGGGAUCGUUACCUGGAUUAUCUCAUACGGUUGGUUAGACGUUAUCCGGGUUCAAAUCCCGGCGCCACAA
This 125-nucleotide transfer RNA is filed under the name Salmonella enterica subsp. arizonae serovar 56:z4,z23:-. RNAcentral describes it as "tRNA-OTHER". It matches the Rfam family "tRNA". Rfam says of the family: Transfer RNA (tRNA) molecules are approximately 80 nucleotides in length. The record is from RNAcentral. Lineage: Bacteria; Pseudomonadati; Pseudomonadota; Gammaproteobacteria; Enterobacterales; Enterobacteriaceae.